GGUUCCAUAGUGUAGCGGUCAGCACUCCAGACUCUGAAUCUGGCGACCCGAGUUCAAAUCUCGGUGGGACCU
RNAcentral lists this transfer RNA (72 nucleotides) under Blyttiomyces helicus. It matches the Rfam family "tRNA". From Rfam's summary of the family: Transfer RNA (tRNA) molecules are approximately 80 nucleotides in length. Lineage: Eukaryota; Fungi; Chytridiomycota; Chytridiomycetes. The record is from Rfam by way of RNAcentral.